GCGUAUAAUACCUGCCCUCAAGUCCGGGAUAGCUGCGGGAAACUGCAGGUAAUACCGGAUAAUAUCUCCGGAUCAAAGGUGUGAUUCCGCUUGAGGAUGGUUCUGCGUCCUAUUAGCUUGUUGGUGGGGUAAUGGCCUACCAAGGCGAUUAUCGGUACCGGGUGUGAGAGCAUGACCCGGCUCACUGGGACUGAGACACUGCCCAGACACCUACGGGUGGCUGCAGUCGAGAAUCUUCGGCAAUGGACGAAAGUCUGACCGAGCGACGCCUCGUGUACGAUGAANGCCUUCGGGUUGUAAAGUACUGUCAGUUGGGAAGAAAUUCUUUGGGGUUCUCCCCCUUGAUUGACCNAUCUUCAGAGGAAGUGCGGGCUAAGUUCGUGCCAGCAGCCCGCGUAAUACGAACCGCACGAACGUUAUUCNGAAUCACUGGGCUUAAGGGGUGCGUA
RNAcentral lists this ribosomal RNA (449 nucleotides) under uncultured bacterium. Its description in RNAcentral is "bacterial SSU rRNA". It matches the Rfam family "Bacterial small subunit ribosomal RNA", at positions 115 to 573 of the family's 1533-position model. The record is from RNAcentral.